Molecule: ribosomal RNA, 523 nt
Filed under: Bacillus pumilus
Lineage: Bacteria; Bacillati; Bacillota; Bacilli; Caryophanales; Bacillaceae
Description: bacterial SSU rRNA
Rfam family: Bacterial small subunit ribosomal RNA
Source: RNAcentral
AUUGGGCGUAAGGGCUCGCAGGCGGUUUUCUUAAGUCUGAUGUGAAAGCCCCCGGCUCAACCGGGGAGGGUCAUUGGAAACUGGGAAACUUGAGUGCAGAAGAGGAGAGUGGAAUUCCACGUGUAGCGGUGAAAUGCGUAGAGAUGUGGAGGAACACCAGUGGCGAAGGCGACUCUCUGGUCUGUAACUGACGCUGAGGAGCGAAAGCGUGGGGAGCGAACAGGAUUAGAUACCCUGGUAGUCCACGCCGUAAACGAUGAGUGCUAAGUGUUAGGGGGUUUCCGCCCCUUAGUGCUGCAGCUAACGCAUUAAGCACUCCGCCUGGGGAGUACGGUCGCAAGACUGAAACUCAAAGGAAUUGACGGGGGCCCGCACAAGCGGUGGAGCAUGUGGUUUAAUUCGAAGCAACGCGAAGAACCUUACCAGGUCUUGACAUCCUCUGACAACCCUAGAGAUAGGGCUUUCCCUUCGGGGACAGAGUGACAGGUGGUGCAUGGUUGUCGUCAGCUCGUGUCGUGAGAUG